This 258-nucleotide ribosomal RNA is filed under the name uncultured bacterium. RNAcentral describes it as "partial 16S ribosomal RNA". It matches the Rfam family "Bacterial small subunit ribosomal RNA", at positions 96 to 354 of the family's 1533-position model. The record is from RNAcentral.
CGGCGGACGGGUGAGUAACGCGUGGGUAACCUGCCUCAUACAGGGGGAUAACAGUUAGAAAUGACUGCUAAUACCGCAUAAGCACACAGAACCGCAUGGUUCGGGGUGAAAAGCCGAGACGGUAUGAGAUGGACCCGCGUCUGAUUAGCUAGUUGGAGGGGUAACGGCCCACCAAGGCGACGAUCAGUAGCCGACCUGAGAGGGUGACCGGCCACAUUGGGACUGAGACACGGCCCAAACUCCUACGGAAGGCAGCAG